This 140-nucleotide small nuclear RNA is filed under the name Aotus nancymaae (Ma's night monkey). RNAcentral's name for it is "U4 spliceosomal RNA (ENSANAG00000002627.1)". It matches the Rfam family "U4 spliceosomal RNA". From Rfam's summary of the family: U4 small nuclear RNA (U4 snRNA) is a component of the major U2-dependent spliceosome. The structure of U4 snRNA from yeast and human has been reported. U4 snRNA presents a k-turn RNA motif in the 5p-SL related to recognition of Snu13 protein. The record is from Rfam by way of RNAcentral. Lineage: Eukaryota; Metazoa; Chordata; Mammalia; Primates; Aotidae.
AGCUUUGUGCCAUGGCAGUAUCAUCGUCAAUGAGGUUUAUCCAAGGCGCGAUUAAUAGAAUCGAAAACUUUUCCCAAUACCCCACUAGGACGAGGUGAAAUUUAGGCAGCACUGGCAAUUUUUGGCAGUCUCUACGGGGA